GAUGAACGCUAGCUACAGGCUUAACACAUGCAAGUCGAGGGGCAGCAUGAACUUAGCUUGCUAAGUUUGAUGGCGACCGGCGCACGGGUGAGUAACGCGUAUCCAACCUGCCCUUUACGCGGGGAUAGCCUUCUGAAAGGAAGUUUAAUACCCGAUGAAUUCGUUUAGUCGCAUGGCUUGAUGAACAAAGAUUUAUCAGUAAAGGAUGGGGAUGCGUCCCAUUAGCUGGUUGGUGGGGUAACGGCCCACCAAGGCGACGAUGGGUAGGGGUUCUGAGAGGAAGGCCCCCCCACAUUGGAACUGAGACACGGUCCAAACUCCUACGGGAGGCAGCAGUGAGGAAUAUUGGUCAAUGGACGAGAGUCUGAACCAGCCAAGUAGCGUGCAGGAUGACGGCCCUAUGGGUUGUAAACUGCUUUUAUAAGGGAAUAAAGUGAGUCUCGUGAGACUUUUUGCAUGUACCUUAUGAAUAAGGACCGGCUAAUUCCGUGCCAGCAGCCGCGGU
RNAcentral lists this ribosomal RNA (505 nucleotides) under uncultured bacterium. RNAcentral's name for it is "bacterial SSU rRNA". It matches the Rfam family "Bacterial small subunit ribosomal RNA", at positions 28 to 521 of the family's 1533-position model. The record is from RNAcentral.